This 1545-nucleotide ribosomal RNA is filed under the name Listeria monocytogenes. RNAcentral's name for it is "bacterial LSU rRNA". It matches the Rfam family "Bacterial large subunit ribosomal RNA", at positions 1 to 1538 of the family's 2925-position model. Lineage: Bacteria; Bacillati; Bacillota; Bacilli; Caryophanales; Listeriaceae. The record is from RNAcentral.
UUGGUUAAGUUAGAAAGGGCGCACGGUGGAUGCCUUGGCACUAGGAGCCGAAGAAGGACGGGACUAACACCGAUAUGCUUUGGGGAGCUGUACGUAAGCGUUGAUCCAGAGAUUUCCGAAUGGGGGAACCCACUAUCUUUAGUCGGAUAGUAUCCUUACGUGAAUACAUAGCGUGAGGAAGGCAGACCCAGGGAACUGAAACAUCUAAGUACCUGGAGGAAGAGAAAGAAAAAUCGAUUUCCUGAGUAGCGGCGAGCGAAACGGAAAGAGCCCAAACCAAGAAGCUUGCUUCUUGGGGUUGUAGGACACUCUAUACGGAGUUACAAAAGAAAGUUAUAAAUGAAGCGGUCUGGAAAGGCCCGCCAAAGACGGUAACAGCCCGGUAGUUGAAAUGGCUUUCCCUCCAGAGUGGAUCCUGAGUACGGCGGAACACGUGAAAUUCCGUCGGAAUCCGGGAGGACCAUCUCCCAAGGCUAAAUACUCCCUAGUGACCGAUAGUGAACCAGUACCGUGAGGGAAAGGUGAAAAGCACCCCGGAAGGGGAGUGAAACAGUUCCUGAAACCGUGUGCCUACAAGUAGUUAGAGCCCGUUAAUGGGUGAUAGCGUGCCUUUUGUAGAAUGAACCGGCGAGUUACGAUUUGUUGCAAGGUUAAGCGGAAAAAGCGGAGCCGUAGCGAAAGCGAGUCUGAAUAGGGCGCAUAAGUAACAGGUCGUAGACCCGAAACCAGGUGAUCUACCCAUGUCCAGGAUGAAGGUAAGGUAAUACUUACUGGAGGUCCGAACCCACGCACGUUGAAAAGUGCGGGGAUGAGGUGUGGGUAGCGGAGAAAUUCCAAUCGAACUUGGAGAUAGCUGGUUCUCUCCGAAAUAGCUUUAGGGCUAGCCUCGAGGUAAAGAGUCAUGGAGGUAGAGCACUGUUUGGACUAGGGGCCCUUCUCGGGUUACCGAAUUCAGAUAAACUCCGAAUGCCAUGUACUUAUACUCGGGAGUCAGACUGCGAGUGAUAAGAUCCGUAGUCGAAAGGGAAACAGCCCAGACCACCAGUUAAGGUCCCCAAAUAUAUGUUAAGUGGAAAAGGAUGUGGGGUUGCUUAGACAACCAGGAUGUUGGCUUAGAAGCAGCCACCAUUGAAAGAGUGCGUAAUAGCUCACUGGUCGAGUGACCCCGCGCCGAAAAUGUACCGGGGCUAAACAUAUUACCGAAACUGUGGAUGAACCUCUUUAGAGGUUCGUGGUAGGAGAGCGUUCUAAGGGCGGUGAAGUCAGACCGGAAGGACUGGUGGAGCGCUUAGAAGUGAGAAUGCCGGUAUGAGUAGCGAAAGAAGGGUGAGAAUCCCUUCCACCGAAUAUCUAAGGUUUCCUGAGGAAGGCUCGUCCGCUCAGGGUUAGUCGGGACCUAAGCCGAGGCCGAUAGGCGUAGGCGAUGGACAACAGGUAGAGAUUCCUGUACCAGUGCUAAUUGUUUAACCGAUGGGGUGACACAGAAGGAUAGGGAAUCGCACGAAUGGAAAUGUGCGUCCAAGCAGUGAGUGUGAGAAGUAGGCA